GGCUUCGUAGCUUAACUGAUAGAGCAUCUGACUACGGAUCAGAAGGUUGGGGGUUUGAAUCCCUCCGAAGUCA
RNAcentral lists this transfer RNA (73 nucleotides) under Prevotellaceae bacterium. RNAcentral describes it as "tRNA-Arg". It matches the Rfam family "tRNA". Rfam says of the family: Transfer RNA (tRNA) molecules are approximately 80 nucleotides in length. Their secondary structure includes four short double-helical elements and three loops (D, anti-codon, and T loops). The record is from RNAcentral. Lineage: Bacteria; Pseudomonadati; Bacteroidota; Bacteroidia; Bacteroidales; Prevotellaceae.